Molecule: ribosomal RNA, 425 nt
Filed under: uncultured bacterium
Lineage: Bacteria
Description: partial 16S ribosomal RNA
Rfam family: Bacterial small subunit ribosomal RNA
Source: RNAcentral
AAUUUUCGUCAAUGGGGGGAACCCUGAACGAGCAAUGCCGCGUGAGUGAAGAAGGCCUUCGGGUCGUAAAGCUCUGUUGCAGGGGACAAAGGCACCUUUCAGGAAAUGGGAAGGGGUCGGAUGGUACCCUGCCAGAAAGUCACGGCUCACUCAGUGCAAACAGCCGCGGUAAUACGUAGGUGGCAAGCGUUAUCCGGAAUGAUGGGGCGUAAAGGGUGCGCAGGCGGCCUUUUAAGUCCGGCAGUGAAAGAUACAGGCUCAACCUGUAUUGGCGCCGGAUACUGGAAGGCUGGAGGCUGAAAGAGGGCGGCGGAACUCCAUGUGUAGCGGUAAAAUGCGUAGAUAUAUGGAAGAACACCGGUGGCGAAGGCGGCCGCCUGGAUCAGACCUGACGCUGAGGCACGAAAGCGUGGGGAGCAAAUAGG